UCAACACUCAGAAAGAAGAAGAAAGUUGCGAAGAAAAAAAGAAACUGUUCAUACCCAUGAUGAAACUCCCCCGGACUCCCCCGCCCCGAGCGAUUGUUGUGUAGUUAUUUUUUUUUUUCUUUUUCCAAAAAGUUCUGCCAUCUGUCGUUUGCAUGUAACAAUCUAAACGGAGGACUCGGCAGUUUGAGAACUGGUGCGGGAAGAGCUCGCUCGGGUACCACCGGCUCGUCCACAGCGCACAUCAAAGCACCUCGGAGCUGGGCGCACCGAGUCAGGCGUCAGGCGCAAGCAGGGAACAUUCCGUGCCGGGUUCUCAGCCCCCAGGAUGAGUGGUCUCGGUUAACACCCAGUGUCUGCUUGGUUUCAGUAGUUUCACUGGAUUCCUGGCUUUCUCUGUACCUCACAAAUAAGCGAAGACUUCGGUUUUAAAAUAAAAGGUUAAACAAACAAAAACAAACAAAUAAAUAGAAAAACAAACUUAGCCUCCCCCUACUUCUUUAGGUCGGCUGCUCCCAAGGGACUGAGAUCAGGUAUGUUUUCAUCUUUUUUUCCUGUUUUUGUUUGUUUGUUUACUUUGAUUUUUUUUUCUUUCUGGCCUUGAGUAAGGCAAAAAUCAGGACCGAGGAGGGCAGGUUCCCCCCUCAGAGGGCUGCGGAACGUGAAAACAGACACACACGUACUCCUGUUCUUAAUGGACUAGCCGUUCCCUGGCCCUGGAGACCGCAGGGCUUCGGGGAAUGGCUGCUCCGUGCCAGCCUCCCAGUAAGGGUGGUUCACACUGUAUCUGUAGCGAGACAGCUUUGCUCUGAAGACUCAACCACUCCCCACUGCGGGGUACUUUUUCCUAAGCUGGUCGGAUUCCCGCCCACUUUUCAUUUUACAUUCCUGCCCCUUGGCCAUCCUUUGAUGGGUGGGAGGAGUUUCCCAUCCCUUGUUCUGGGCUUCCUGCUAAUUCCUUAGCAUUUCCUGAUAAGGACCGGCCUUAGAAGCUAAUAGCUCAGGAGCCCUGAUGGAGAAAACGGAACACAGCGGACUCUCCUCAGAAGCCCCCUCAGAGCCUAGGAAUCCUCAACUGUAGCAACCAAACCGCACACAGCCCUAGCAUCCGCCCUGUGUGGAAUAUCAGUAUCUGAUGGCUUUUCGCCCCUCUGUCUUUCUCCCUUUUCAUGAUAAGCUUCAAUUAAAGCCCUGAUAACAAAACCAAAGAUCAUGCUAACAGCUUCAGUAAGUUUCCCACGGCACCUCCAAGGCAAUUAGAAAUAAUGAUGGCUAGUUUAGUCAGUUUCGCACAACCUACAAUCACGUGGGAAGGGAGUCUCAGAGAGGGAUACCCAGAUCAGGCUGGCCAUGGACCGGCCUGAGGGGGGUUGUCUUGAUGAUUUGAUGUGGGAAGAUCCAGCCCACAGUAGGCAGCAUGAUCUGGGAUCUGGAGGAGCAUAGAGUCCCUCUCGGCUUUGAACUGUGGAUGUGGUGCAACCGGCUGCUUCAAGUUCACACUGCCUCGACUUCCUCACCAUGAUGCACUGAGGAAGGCAUUUCCUUGAUUAGCUCUAUUCUCCCAGCAAGUCCGUCUCACCUCUGCCCUGGUAGUGGAAAAACAAACAUGUUACCUAGCACAGUGAGCUCACACCUUGAAUCCCAGCACUUGAGGAGGCAGAGGCAAGCGCAUCUCUGUGAGUUCGAGGCCAGCCAGGACUACAAAGUGAGACCCUCUCAAAGCAAAACACCAACAGAGAUGCCCCUGUCUGUUGUGAGCAAAGAAACCCAGAGUGGAGCUGACUGAUGGAAGCAUGUCCUACUACGGCGAGUCUUCGGUGGUGUGUGAGCCACCAGUGUCCUUAUUGUCUAAAGGUUAGACAUUUGCAAGGUUUUUGUUGUUGAUUUUUUUGGUUUUUUUUUUUUUUUUUUUUUGGCAAAGACAUCCCCCACCCCCACCUCCCCCACACCAUUUGCACAAUACUUUCCAAACCUUCCCAACGGACAGACAGUUAACUGCUUGCAGAAGAACCUUUCCACAAUGAAAACUAUAUGUUGCAGUGGGAAGAGGGCAUUCACCUUUUAUUUAUUAAAUUUCAGCUCUAGGAUCAACCCGUGCUCAGCUCGCCCCCUCUCCACGGACCUCCCGUCCUGCCUGGCUCUCCUGGACUUUUUUUUCCUGACCAAAGACUAACUCUUGCCUGUCUUUUCCUCAAACCAAGUCAGAUGGUUUUGUAUUGAAUGCUAAAGUCUCAAUGCAAAGGUUCUGAGAUGGCUCAGCUGGUAACUUGCCACCAAGGUAAUGACCUGAGUUAACCCCAGAACCAACUCGGUGGAAGGAGAGAACCAACUUACACACACAUACACAUACGUACACACAUACACACACACAUACACAUACAUACACACAUACACAUACACACAUACACACACAUACACAUACAUACACAUACAUACACAUACACACACAAACACACAGGCAUACAUACACAUAUACACAUACAUACACACACAAAUACACAUACACAUAUAUACACACACACAUACAUACAUACACACAUACACAUACAUACACACAGGCAUACACACAGGCAUACACACACAUACAUGCACACAUACACACAUACACACACAUACAUACACAUACAUACACAUACACACACAAACACAUACACACAUAUACAUACACACAUAUAUACACACACAUACACAUACAUACACACACAUACACACAAGCAUACACACACAUACAUGCACACAUACACACACAUACAGAUACAUACACAUACACAUACACACAGGCAUACACACAUACACAUACACACAUACACAUACACACACAUACACACACACAUACACACAGGCAUACAUACACACAUACACAUACAUACACACAGGCAUACAUACACACAUACACAUACAUACACACACAUACACACACACAUACACAUACACACAUACACACACACACACACACUUUUUAAGUUUCAAGGGUAGCAGGCUGAGCACUGCAUUACACACUUAUAACACCAACAUUUGAGACAUAUAAAUAGAAAGACCAGGAGUUCCAGGUUGUCCUCAGCUACAUAGUGAGUCUGAGGUUAGCCUGGACUAUAAAGUGAGACCCUGUCUCAAGAAAACAAAACAGAAAAGUUUCAAUACUGACUAUAGUGCCAUUAAUUCUUAUAAUUCUAGUUGCUUGGGAAGCUGAGGUAGGGCCUGGGCUAUAGCACCCUAGUUUAAAGCUAGGCUGCACCAGGUAGGACCUAGUCUCUCAAAGGAACAAAGGACUGAGGAUAUCCGGGGUGAAACAUAUACACAUGCAUGCAUGUAUACACAUGUACACAUGAAUGCAUGUAUACACAUGUAUGCACACACAUAUACACAUGAAUGCAUGUAUACACAUGUAUGCACACACAUAUACACAUGCAUGCACAUAUACACAUGUAUGCCCACAUACAUAUACACAUACAUACACUAUACACAUGUAUGCCCACACAUAUACACAUGCAUGCACAUAUACACAUAAAUGCACACACACAUAUACACAUGCAUGCACAUAUACACAUAAAUGCACACACACAUAUACACAUGCAUGCACAUAUACACAUAAAUGCACACACACAUGCAUGUGCACACACAUGCAAGCAUACAUAUACACUGCACAUAUUGCUUUAUGCACAGUUAUCAUCAUUAUUAAGGACAUUGAAGGUCAGUGAGCAGCCCAAUGUAUGUUCAUUUGUUUGUUUUCAGACAGGGCCUAUGUGGCUAUUAUAUAGCCCAGGCUGGCCUAUAUCGUUCUGCUUCAGCCUCCCAAAUGCUGUGGUGAUAGGAUCUGGGCAUCUCCUGUACAUGAAGACCACUGAGGCCCAAUAGAGAAGCAGCUGCUUACUCAAGGCCAUGCACACUUGUGAAAGAGCUGGGAUAGGAGCUCUUUCCACAAGCCACAUUGGUCUGAUUUCCGUUAGCCCGGGGCCUUGCACAGAGCUGGUCUAGGAUGGGGUAAAUCAUCCCUACCCACAGGAGAAUUACAAUACAAUUAGCAUCUUCCUCCCUUCCUUUGGCCCCUCCUCAGACUCCUUAUCUUUUGGGUGGCCCCCUUCCUGCUGUUUGGGUUGGAUUUUAUUUCUUGUAGACUCUGGCUGCUCUCCAGACCUAAAAGGCUCUUAGCCCCAUUAUCCUGACAGGCUGAGUCCCUAACCCUGGCUGAAAUGUUGUCUUUUUAUGGAAGUAGGCCCAGACACCUCACUAGUACUUUGACCUCACCUACAUCCUUUUCUUGAGGGAGCCAUGCCCACUUGCUUUCUUCCCCAGCCUUCCCUAAAGCAUUAACUCAUCCCCUGCCAUGCGUGUAGGAUGCCAAGCACAGGAGAAAGGAAUCGGAUGUGUUUUCAAAAGCCUAGGAGAGUCCCUGCCUGCAGCAGAUGCUCACAAGCCCUGAGAUGGAAACGGUCUAGCCUGUGCUUAAUGUCCAGAAAUUCAUACAGCAGGGACCUCUGAGCAAGAUCAAGGUGUGUGUCUCUUCCACACUCCCCAGAGUACCUGACAUGUUAGGCCCUUGGGCUCAAAAUAAACUCUCAUCUGUAUAAAAUGUUGGGAGGACCUGGGGCUUGAAUCUAAACACCUUUUUUUUGAUUUUUUUUUUUUUUUGGUUCUUUUUUUCGGAGCUGGGGACCGAACCCAGGGCCUUGCGCUUCCUAGGUAAGCGCUCUACCACUGAGCUAAAUCCCCAGCCCCCUUUUUUUUGAUUUUUAACUGUGUUUUUUCUAUGUGUGUUCAUGUGUGGGUGUGUGUGCCUGUGUAUGAAGGUGCCCAGCAGCCAGAGGCAUCCAAUACCCUGGAGCUGGCGUUACAGGUGGUUGGCUCUGAGGAUCAAAGCAAGUGGCAGGUCAGUCUGGUCUACAUGGCCAUAUCCUGUCCUACAAAAAGAGAAGAAAAACAAAGAAAGAAAAAUAAAAAAAAGGAAGGAAGGAAGGAAGAAAGGUAGGCCAGGGAAAACAACAAGAACAACAAAACACUAAACACAAAUAAAAUUCCAAACAGGGACUGAAGACCCCAGUGUGGUUUGCCCCCAGGGUAUCCCUGGGCACGAUUCCAGCCCAAUACAUGAGCAGUAAGAGGGCGCACCUGGGCAACACUAAUGCUUUCCUUGGGCUGGCGACAGCAGAUCAGCCCAGGGAAAGGAGCCAGGUCCCCCUCGCUGCAUAGAAGAAUGCUUUGGACAGAUUUCCAGCCACCCUGAGAUUGUUUUCAAGUCUUGAAAGGCAGGGCCUGUCUGCGGGUUCUCCCUCUCCACAGGUGAUGGGGCUUGAGAAAAUAUGUCUAUGUGGAGUCCAGGAGACUUCAAUCAGAUGUUUAAACAAUGCCUCAUUUAGAAGAUGAACCAGCACAAUGUAACCAGGGGGGGAGUUUGGAAUCUCUACCUUGGGAGUGACAGAUCUUCCAAAAUGAAAAGAGGCCAGGCAUGGUGGCUGCCUCCUGUAAUCCCAGCACUGGGGUGGCAAAGGCAGGAGGAUCAGGAGUUCAAGGACCGGCUUUCCCUGAAUAAUGAAUUCAAGGAUAGUGUGGGCCAAAUGAAACCCUGCCUUAAAACUAGAAUAGAGGAGAAUGGAGGGAGGGAUCAAAGGGGAGCAGGAAGAAAAACAGUGAUGUUUACAGGACCAAGACUUCACUGCUUUUCUAAACCAUGAACUGUAACAUUGGAGUCAAACGACGUGACUGCGACCCAGGGCUGCUAGGGAGACUGCAUGGAUUCCCUGUGAUCGCAGCCAUUUUUGUCUUGGUUUCUCUGUCAUUUGUUUGUUAACCAAACAAAUGGGUUGGGGUUUUUUUCCCUGUUUUUUGUCUGUCUGUUUGUUUGUUUGUUUUUGGAGACAGAGUUUCUCUGUGUAGCCUUGGCUAUCUUGGAACUUGCUCUGUAGACCAGACUGGCCUCAAUCUGCCUGCCCUCUGCCUCACAUGGGCUGGAAUUAAAAGGCAUGCACCACCGCGUCUUUUUAAAUAUUCAAUUUCUUAGAAGUUUUAUACGUGUUUGUGCACACACGAGUGUGUUCCAGUGCCUGGAGAGGCCAGAAGAGGACGUCAGAUCCCCUGUAGCUGGCUUGAGACCCUUGUGUGUUAUUCCAUUGUGGUGGCAGGGAACUUAACUGGGGUCCUCAGGAUGCAUAAUUACUUUCAAUCCCUGAGCCAUCUCUCCAGCCCGGGUUUCCCGUCUCUUAAACAGGGUCAUGAAACACUGUUAGGAUCAAACAAUACACACCACAGGAGUUAGCUGCUGUGUCCCUGAGUAGAAUGCUGUUUUCGCCACACAGAGUUCUAGAUGUAAUUCAUCUUUCUCAGAGGGAGCCAGCAAUAAGGGCCCAAAGAGACAUGGAUAGCCCCAGCUGUAGGCAGAACUCCCAGAAGACACAAGGGAAAGGGAAGAACUUAAGGCAGCUGACCACAGACUGUAGAUAAGUGGGGAGUUGGAAGGGAAAAAAUAGCAACAUUUUUUUAGAGAAAUCUCAAACCCACUCAGGGGCAGAGGCAGGAAGAUCUUUAGUUCUAGGUCAGCCUGAGCUGGAAAGCUGACCCUGUUUCAUAAAAACUUAAAAAAAAAAUUUUUUUUCUUUAAAAGAGAGAAAUGUGGGCAGGAAGGAUGGCUCAGCGGAUAAGAGCACUGACUGCUCUUCCAGAGGUCCUGAGUUCAAUUCCCAGCAACCACAUGGUGGCUCACAACCAUCUGUAAUGGGAUCCGAUGCCCGCUUCUGGUAUGUCUGAAGACAGGGACAGUGUACUAUAAACAAACAAACGAACAAAUUAAUAAAGUAAUAUGUUAUUUUAAAAAGAGAAAUAGAAAAACCCUUCUUUUUCUUCUUCAACUUCCUCCUCCUCCUCAUCUUCUUUUUGGAGGCAGGGUUAAAACAGGGUUUUACUAUAUAGCCCUGUCUGUUUCUGGUACUCACUCUGUAAACAAGGCUAGCCUCAACCUUAGAAAUCCACUCACUUCUGCCUCCCGAUUGCUGGGAUUAAAGGCUUUUUAUUUUUUUAAGGGAAAGUGAGGAAGGGCCUAUUAUGUACUAGGAAAGAUCGCCUCUUCAACCACGUCUGCCAAGUUGACCACACAUCUCUAUGUGCUUGUGAAGCAGGCGGGUUUGAGGCUGGCUGACAAGAGGGAGGAAACAGGGGUGUGUUCAACUCUGUUCUGUGCUGCAGACUUGGUGUAAUUAAAAUCACCCACAGACACCAAGGGCAGCCCCUGCUUAUCUCUGAGCUUUUCACAGAUGAAUGCAUUUAACACACACACUCUCUCUCUCUCUCUCUCCCUCUCUCUCUCUCUCUGAAGUUUUUGGGACAGUAUAGAUUAAAGAGACUGAGGGUAUUAAAGGAUCACAGCAUUAGGAAGGUUGAGAACCAGUGGACCAGAGGAAGGUUUGUCUGGUAUACAGCAGGCUCUCAGUGUGCCCCGUGCCUGAGGCUCAGGCAUGGCUGGAUCUGUGACUAACAGAUAAAUCCUGGGGGGCAUGAGUGGAACCUCUUUCCUUCCAGGUCUCAGUGAAUGAAGAAGAGUCUAGACCAAUCAAUCACCCAGCACACAGAGCCGCUUGCUGAAGUACAGAGAGGAGGGGGAUCAGCACAAAGACCAGUUUGCUCCCACAAAAUACACUUGAAAAAACAAAAA
Non-coding RNA from Rattus norvegicus (Norway rat), 7636 nucleotides. The record is from RefSeq and is a predicted model, not a curated record. Lineage: Eukaryota; Metazoa; Chordata; Mammalia; Rodentia; Muridae.